AAACAAACCCUCCUUCCAUACUGAUUCUUACUUGGAAAAGGUUAUAAUAUCAAUUUAUAAUAACAAUAAGAUAUACGUAUGGAAGAGAGUGUAUUGAGGUACAGUUGAUCAAUAGUAACUUGGUUCUGUUUGUAUUUGUUUCAAAAUGUUCUUGCUUUUUUCUUACUCAGGAAGUUCCAUAGAGUAGUGAACUGGUCUAACUGGAGAAUGUCCUACUUCCCAAAAAAGAGGCAGUGUCUGAGCUGGCAUUUGAAUGGAAGGAUCACAACAUACCUUUCAGUUUAAAAUUUAUUUAGUACAGAUAAUUUUGCAUGCCUGCAGUUAUCCUUUAGUAAUACCAGUUGGCUCCUUAUACACUGCCUCAGUCUGAACAACAGCAGGAAAGAGUUUAACAGCAUGAGAAGGUAGAGCAAAUGUGAUCUGUAUUUCUGCAGAUGUGAAGGUUAGAAAGAUAAAGGGAAAAUGAUUAAAAUAUUCCCAAGAAGUGCCCUAGAUAAGAUUGUUUCGUGUCUGAGGGCAUGAUGAAUCCUGUGGGAAUGAGGAAGCUAAAAGGCUGUUUAAUUCUGAUGUUUCACACUGAAUCAACAUGUUAGCUAUCAAAGUGGUAUUAGUGAAAUUUGUAAGAACAUGGACAUUUUAUGUAAAGAAUAUAGAAAUAAAGUAAGUUAGUCCAAAUCAAAUCCUUUGCUGUAUCUGAGCUACGCAGAGAAUGAACAUUGGAGGCUUAACGUGAGUAUAAUAAAUCAAACUGCCAGCUGAGCCUCAGAGGGCUUUAUUCAUGCACUUCAUUGUUCUCUCUGCAGCUACAGCAGGGUUCAGCCAAACGCAGGGCUGUCAUUCUGCAGAUGUUCAGAGUGUUUCCCAGUGUUCUGAGGACUGAGCUGGUGUCUGUGUGUUGUCCACACUGCUCCCUUCACCGCUCCAAGUGGCCGUGCUCUGACUUCCAUGGGGACUUUCACAUGCAGAAAUCACAGCGUGAGUUUGCAGUUUUGGCUAAUAUAGUGGUUGUCCAAGUAAACUGCAUCAUGAAAUCCAAAAAUUCCUGGAGUGGUAGAGGAAGUAGGAAUCCCUCAGCUGGAAGACAGAGAACUUGACUACCCUUCUGUCACAGUGCUUUUGACAUGUUCAGUUUAAGCCAUCCUGAAAAUGUACCAGCAGUCAGGCUCUGUGGUAGGUGACCAGCUGCUCUGCACCAAGGCCCUGCAGUGAGGUAUGGUAGUCUGUUGCUGUAAACAUCCCCGACUGGAAGCUGUACCUGCUCCAGCUUUCAGUCAGAUGUUUGCUGCACCUGGCUAUGCUUGGACAACAGCAGAAGGAGGAGCUGUCAUGAAUACGUAUGUGCAUUUAUAUUUGUCAAGCAGUGUUUCUGCAGACAGAGAUGGAUUGCCUCCCUGUGAAUUACCCUGUCUGGUAGGUGUGAUCUCCUGAAAUCUGAGCUGAAAUGGAGAUCCCAAGCUGAGCUCUUUGCUGCUUUGUGUUAUAAACUACAGGAUUAGGCUUCCUUGGAAUGACCAGUGGUGGUGAACUUCUGCAGUUACCCAUGAACCCUUCAUUGCUUCAUCAAUGGUCAGUUUUAGCAGCUUCUGUUACUUAGGGCUGUGGGGAAAGAAUAUUAUCAGUGCUGCCCAAUACUUAGCAGGCCUCAUAUCUGCUGCGCUUUGCUUUUUGUUGUUUUCUCUGGAAUUCUGUAUUCCAAGUCUCCUUGUAAGAAGGUUGUUCUCCUAAUUGUUAGAUGGGCAUAACCCAAGCCCAAAAUAAAGGUUAAAAACGUAUCACCCAGUCUGUUUUGCUGGUCUCCCAAUCCACAGUGUAUAGCCUUGUCUGUGGUGUGGUUUGUGCUGCCCCCACCAUGGUUUGCUUUUCAUGGAAAUAACAGCUUUUGAAAGUAUUCCUUCAGAAGUCUUCACUGGUUCAGUUCCUGAACAACUUAAAAGUCAUGGUAUCAGGAACAGUAUCUGCAGAAAAGCUUCAGCUUUCCAUUUUUCCCUAGUGGGAUCUGCACAUGCUGUUGCCUGGAUCUUGCCUGGGAUUUCUUUCCUUCUUUGUUUCACUCUAGUCUUCUAUUUUUAAAGGGAUGGCCAAUGAGAGUAACUGCUGCUAAUAGAAAAAAUAUUCUUGCAAUAAUCCAGCUCUCUCUUCUAGCCCCUCCAAAAUGUUAUUUUUUUAUUCCCUAACACUUAAUGAAAUACUUUGUUGAAUUUAAAUGUUAGUAUUCCAAACCUAGGUAUUUAUUUGUUUAGGUUCACUAUAGUGGUUCUGUAAAAGAUGAUUAUGACCAAAAAUACAGAUACUUUUAAAAAGUAAAAUAUUUUCUCCUCAACUCGUCAGAAUUAAAACUAGAAGGAUUUCUUAGUCCUGGGAAAGCUGGAUUAAUAAGCAUUGGAAAGGUGAUAGUUUUGAAGCUGUCAGUGGCUGACCAAUGGUGAACCAAGGACAGCCAUUUUUCUGUCAUCGUCCCAUUGCUGUAACCCCUUUUUCCUUACCCUGUGUCCUCCCUGGUGACAGAGGAACAUGUGUGGUGAUGAAGGUUGUGAACUUAUUUGUUGAUCUAAUACAUUGCUAGCACCUCUACAAGGAUUUUUAAAGUAACUUGCACACCUAACAUAGCCUCAGUUAAAAUAGCUUUUUUAAAAACAUCGGUUUUAUUUGGUUUGAUAUGUCAUGGCUGUAUAUUUAUAAAAAAGACUUUGAUGCAUAAGCUACAGAGCUUGAUGCCUUAAAAAAAUGCUGGUAGUUAUUUUCCAAGCUUUCUUUGCUGUAAACAUUUAGCAUUUCCUAGUUCUAGACAGUAUUUGGACUUAGAAGAAAGGAAAUUAUUUUUGUUAACAAACUUCUUAGUUCAAAGUAAACGUAUUAUAAUUAAUCUAGUGUUCAUUUUGUUUAGUUCUGUCUUAGCCAUUCCACAUGCCACAAAAGUGCUGGUUUUUGGGUUUUAUUUACAAGCCUAGUUCAUGUGCAGUUAGUCAGUCCUGUCUUGUGGAGCUAAACUUGUGCAUACCUUCAUAUUGAACUGGUGUCUAAUUCAUGUACUCAAACACAGCUGUUUCAUAUCAGUACAUGAAAAUUAUUUGGAGUGGCUUGUAAUUGCAAUAAAUAAAUAAAUUUAAAAAUCCACGUUCUA
This is a long non-coding RNA of Passer montanus (Eurasian tree sparrow), 3121 nucleotides long. RefSeq lists it as uncharacterized. Lineage: Eukaryota; Metazoa; Chordata; Aves; Passeriformes; Passeridae. The record is from RefSeq and is a predicted model, not a curated record. The transcript is spliced from 3 exons.